GAUAUUUGCCUACUCAAAAACAAGAGACAAGAAGGGAGAAAAUGGAAAAAGAAGGUCUAUCUUUUUCAAUGAAUCUUGAAUGUACCAAAGAAAGAUUCAACUUUAAUAUCCAAUUAAAUGUAUGUGGAGUAAUCAUGAAAUUCAUAAAAGAAAUUAUUAAAUGUAUUAAAGUGCUGCUUUCACUUAUUAUAUGAAGGAAAAAAAAGACAUCCGUUCCACAGCAAAGGCUUUAAGACCUUGGAAAAUGUAUGGAAUAUUAGUGGUUUCUCUUCGAUGUGGCACUAUAAACUAACGCAUAUAUCUAAAUUUCACCCUUGAAUUCUGUCUCUGUUCAUGUGAGCUUUUCCUAACUUUUGUCAUUUCAAAGGGAUUUCUCCCAUUUCUGAACUCCUUUACUAGUCAGACCCUUCAGGACUCAUCUGACAGUGCAGAUAAUCUUUUCAAAUGUGCCUCACUAGUUCAGGUCGAUUAUAAACUCAGAGGAUGCCAGUGUCCUGCCUAAACCCCUAGAUACUUGUCUGGCCCCGCCCCACUCCACUCCACCCUCGGGGUUUAUUGAAUCUGAAAGGACUUCUCCGAGCUCUUGGCCAGAAUGACCUUCGGCGUGCUUACACUUGAAUCCCUGGACAGCCCUGCUAUGGGCCUGUAUUGGAGGGGGCAGCUAAAAGAGACUUGGAGGGGAGUCCGGACCGUCGGACUCUACGGGAGGCCAAACGAGUGCACAGCCACAGCGCGACCUAAAGGAAGAAGAGGCCCAAAUUGGUCCAAACCGAGGACCUUGCCCAUGUCCUAGGGCGGACCAGGACCUCGCGCGCCUGCCCAGGGCUCUUUCCCUCCCACGCCUACUCCUUCUCACACCCCUCCCCCUUCGCUAGCGGUUCAACCGCCCGCCGAGCCCCGCCCUCUCCAGGUUGCUUCCACCCUUCCCCCUCCCGCUCUCGUUCCAAGCAGGCGCAUUAGAACGCAAGGCUCCGAAUCCGGCCAAGAGGGGCUGCGGCUGGAAAGACUGUGGAGCACCAGAGUGCGGGCUUCCGGGGGCGUCUCCCGGUGCUGUGGCUUCCUCAGUCUUUUAAUACAGACACUUGGUUAUCACAUAAUCAUUCAUUUGGAAAGGCAUUCAUUGGCCAGCGAUAAAAGAACUGAAACAGGCAGGGGAAAUAAGAAAACUUUGUUCCUGAUCCUCCAUGGUACUUUGGACAAUGAAAUCCAUGUGAAGAUAAUGUCUCCCAUCUCUUUAAAGAGAUCAAAACUUCUCCCUGAAUCUUUCUAUGUGGCAGCACAGAGAAGGUGGAAGCCUGUUUUUUGGUUUGGUUUGUUUUUUUUGCAUUAAUCACACAGGUAUGCAUACAUAGAAUUGAAGAGGAGAGGACACAAUCAGUACACAAACAAUGUGAGUUUUAACAAGCAACACAGAGAGCCUCCUAUCUCUUCCCUACUUUUUCUUAGGGUGGAGUAUCAUUGAAUAUUUUAAAAAUAUACUUGCGAAUAAAUCUAAGAACUAGAAGUAGAAAACA
This 1514-nucleotide long non-coding RNA is filed under the name Monodelphis domestica (gray short-tailed opossum). RNAcentral's name for it is "lncRNA (ENSMODG00000038815.1)". Lineage: Eukaryota; Metazoa; Chordata; Mammalia; Didelphimorphia; Didelphidae. The record is from RNAcentral.